RNAcentral lists this ribosomal RNA (1196 nucleotides) under wastewater metagenome. Its description in RNAcentral is "bacterial LSU rRNA". It matches the Rfam family "Bacterial large subunit ribosomal RNA", at positions 817 to 2002 of the family's 2925-position model. The record is from RNAcentral.
AGGGGUGAAAGGCUAAACAAACUUGGAAAUAGCUGGUUCUCUCCGAAAACUAUUUAGGUAGUGCCUCAAGUAUUACCAUCGGGGGUAGAGCACUGUUAUGGCUAGGGGGUCAUCGCGACUUACCAAACCAUUGCAAACUCCGAAUACCGAGACGGACUGUAUGGGAGACACACGGCGGGUGCUAACGUCCGUCGUGAAAAGGGAAACAACCCAGACCCACAGCUAAGGUCCCAAAUUCACUGCUAAGUGGAAAACCAUGUGGAAAGGCACAGACAGCCAGGAGGUUGGCUUAGAAGCAGCCACCCUUUAAAGAAAGCGUAAUAGCUCACUGGUCGAGUCGGUCUGCGGGGAAGAUUUAACGGGGCUAAGCAGUGAACCGAAGCUUGGGGUGCAUAACUUUGUUAUGCGCGGUAGAGGAGCGUUCCGUAAGCCGUUGAAGGUGGAUUGAGAAGUCUGCUGGAGGUAUCGGAAGUGCGAAUGCUGACAUGAGUAACGAUAAUGCGGGUGAAAAACCCGCACGCCGAAAGCCCAAGGUUUCCUUGCGCAACGUUAAUCGGCGCAGGGUGAGUCGGCCCCUAAGGCGAGGACGAAAGUCGUAGUCGAUGGGAAGCAGGUUAAUAUUCCUGCACCUCGCGUAAGUGCGAUGGAGGGACGGAGAAGGUUAGGUGUACCAGGCGUUGGUUGUCCUGGGGAAAGGCGGUAGGUUUGGAUCUUUGGCAAAUCCGGGAUCCUUUAAGACCGAGCACCGAGACGAGUCUUUAAGACGAAGUCACUGAUACCACGCUUCCAGGAAAAGCUCCUAAGCUUCAGCUUACGCAGACCGUACCGUAAACCGACACAGGUGGGUAGGAUGAGAAUUCUCAGGCGCUUGAGAGAACUCGGGUGAAGGAACUAGGCAACAUGGCACCGUAACUUCGGGAGAAGGUGCACCCUUUUUGGUGGCUCGUGCGAGCUAUAGCUGAAGAGGGUCGCAGUAACCAGGCCGCUGCGACUGUUUAUCAAAAACACAGCACUCUGCAAACACGAAAGUGGACGUAUAGGGUGUGACGCCUGCCCGGUGCUGGAAGGUUAAUUGAUGGGGUCAGCCGCAAGGCGAAGCUCUUGAUCGAAGCCCCAGUAAACGGCGGCCGUAACUAUAACGGUCCUAAGGUAGCGAAAUUCCUUGUCGGGUAAGUUCCGACCCGCACGAAUGGCGU